UACGGAGGGUGCAAGCGUUAAUCGGAAUUACUGGGCGUAAAGCGCGCGUAGGCGGUUAAGUCAGUCAGAUGUGAAAGCCCCGGGCUCAACCUGGGAACUGCAUUUGAUACUGCUUAGCUAGAGUAUGGUAGAGGAGAGUGGAAUUUCAGGUGUAGCGGUGAAAUGCGUAGAUAUCUGAAGGAACACCAGUGGCGAAGGCGGCUCUCUGGACCAAUACUGACGCUGAGGUGCGAAAGCGUGGGUAGCAAACGGG
RNAcentral lists this ribosomal RNA (253 nucleotides) under uncultured bacterium. RNAcentral describes it as "partial 16S ribosomal RNA". It matches the Rfam family "Bacterial small subunit ribosomal RNA", at positions 524 to 776 of the family's 1533-position model. The record is from RNAcentral.